Megalops cyprinoides (Indo-Pacific tarpon) is the source of this 363-nucleotide long non-coding RNA. RefSeq lists it as uncharacterized. The transcript is spliced from 4 exons. NCBI's taxonomy places the organism in Eukaryota, Metazoa, Chordata, Actinopteri, Elopiformes, Megalopidae. The record is from RefSeq and is a predicted model, not a curated record.
UGUCUGAAUGUAUCGGCAAUCGUAAACAGAUUUCUUUGUCUUCUCGCUGAAGUGGGAGUCGUAGCGAUGGAAGAACGAAGUUCAUCGGGGGAAGGAAACGAGGAUCCCUCUCUUCCUCUCUCCUCCCUGCGCCUUUUGGUUCCCCCUCUACGACUGUUCUCUGCAGCCAUGUGGCAAGUGGUGCAGCAGCGAGACAUAAUGCAUUAUGGGAAAUUGGAGGAGUUUGUGACUUUGGUGACAGAGGCAGUCCCAGAGCUGCUGAGUUACAGACAGAGGAGCCACCUGAUUCUGGCACUGCGAGCGAGGAGCUCUGAUGUGAAGGUGGAGGUGUCAGAAGCUGAUUUUGUAGAGCUGGUCCAAACC